This 213-nucleotide unclassified non-coding RNA is filed under the name Hevea brasiliensis (rubber tree). The record is from RNAcentral. Lineage: Eukaryota; Viridiplantae; Streptophyta; Magnoliopsida; Malpighiales; Euphorbiaceae.
GUUGAAGAUACCAUGUGGAUCACUAGUUAUCCCUUAUUUGAAUUUGAGGAGAGCAAGUUGUUGAGUAUCUUUUCCUGAUGAAGCAUUGACUUGCAGGCAUGCUAAGUUAACAGAGUAGAAAAGAAACACUUGUAGAUACACAAGUGUGUAAAGGUUGGGCUCAUUAAACUUCAUUUGGUGUGUGAAUUCAAAAGGGAGAUGCAGAAUGCAGAA